GGGGCGUACAAAACAUAGCUACAAAUCAAAGUAUUUGCUAAAGGAGUAAACUUGUAAUUUUUGUUGGGGAUGGAUUUGUCGAAGAAAAUAAUAUAAUUUAUAAGUUUGUGUAAUUUGUCAUCAGAAACUGAGACUAUCUGUAUAUUUUUUCUUUUAUGGGGUGAACCUGGUCCCAGUUGACACCCGGCCCUGCCCGAAGCUUAGUGACUGGGUACCCGGACCCAGUAUUUGGCCAAAUUUUACUACCUGUGCAUCCCUACUACUUAUGUUAGUAGAAGAAGGACACUGUGAACAAUAAAAAUAAUGUAGAAGAUUUUAUAUUGUGGUGCUUCAAGAAAACAUAGAAUAUUGUGGAAAAAAUAUGUGAAGGAAGAUUAUUGGACGAUAUCAUUAAGAAGAGAUCUUUGUAUUUUGGGUACAUGACAUAAAGAGAAGAGAGGAAUCAUGAAGGAAGACCAAUAAGGUAUAUCUCAUAUGGCCAAUGGCAGAUGAUCCUGACAGAGAAGUAUUUCCUGUUAAGGAAGUUCAACCCACAAGCAUUCAUGUACAUGGAUUGACGUAUGGAGAUGUAGGUACAAUCAAAAGAACCACAGCUCAGUUAAACAGAGAAGAAAUUGAAGACAAGUAUCUUCGUCUUCAAGAUGAACACCUGCUUCUGAAAAAACAUGCAAGAAAGCAAGAAGAUAAAAUCAAAAGAUUAGCUACAAAGUUAACAAGGCUUCUCAAUGAUAAGAAACGUUUAGAGCAAGACGGAUUUGGAAGAAAGCGAGAUGUGGAAACAGAAGAAAUGGUACAAGACCUACAGGAUAAAGUAAGAGAUCUGGAACGACAAAAUUCCCAACUUCGAGAAAAGCUUUUGGUUGCUAAGCAACAGAUUGUUUCUAAUGUGAGAAGACAUACACCUUAUAGAAAUGUGCAAGCAAGAGUUGAUUCGAGUCAGUCCAAGUGGAGUUCUUCCCCUGUAUGUAUUUAAUCUGCUAGACGAGGCUCGGACCGAGAUAAGGCAACUAGAAGAUAGGUUGAGUUCUCAAAAUGUCCAAAUAGAAGUGUAUGAACAAGAAAUUCAAACACUUAAAGAACAGCUGAGGGUCAGAGAUAUUGAGCAUGAAGAGGAAAUCUGUGCUUUAAAAGGACAGGUCACGCAAGGG
RNAcentral lists this unclassified non-coding RNA (1148 nucleotides) under Limulus polyphemus (Atlantic horseshoe crab). Its description in RNAcentral is "vimentin-like, transcript variant X2". The record is from RNAcentral. Lineage: Eukaryota; Metazoa; Arthropoda; Merostomata; Xiphosura; Limulidae.